Molecule: long non-coding RNA, 802 nt
Filed under: Homo sapiens (human)
Lineage: Eukaryota; Metazoa; Chordata; Mammalia; Primates; Hominidae
Description: non-protein coding lnc-TM7SF2-2:1
Source: RNAcentral
GGUGCUUGUAGUCCCAGCUACUCCUGAGGCUGAGGCAGGGGAAUCGCUUGAACCCGGGAGGUGGAGGCUGCAGUUAGCCGAGAUCGCGCCACCGCUCUCCAGCCUGCGAGCCUGGGCCACAGAGAGAAACUCCACCUCAAAAAGAUAAAUAGAAAGCAGCAUUUAAGAAAUAUCUGAGCUCCUAUGAUUUUUUUCCUCCAAAACUGCCUCUUCUUUUCAUUAAGUAUCUUCUCAUUAAAUACCACUAUUCAUCCAUCUUAUUAAGUGCAGGCCCCAUUCUAGGUGCCAAGAACACAAUGCACAUCAAAGGGAGCCGGGGGUCCCUGUUCUAAUAGAGCUCACUCUUGUGGUGGAGUGGGGGGUGUGAUGAACCAAACUGUGAGUGUUCUUUGCAUCCCUGCUACUACUGGUGGUCUAAGCUUCCUGACCCCUCAUGUGGAUGACAACACAUUAAGUGUUUUUCCUAACUUUCUUGCCAGCCCUCCAGAAAAACCUGCCAGAGAAAUUAGAUCACAAGUCAGAUGAGAUCCAUCUGUUACUCAAAACCCUUCUGCGACCCUCCAUUGCACUUGGACUCAAACCCAAACUCCUCUCUAUGGCUGACAAGGCCUUGCAGGAUCUGCCCGCCCCCAGCCCUAGACAUCACCUCUUCCCCAUCUUCACACAGUCCUCUAGGCUUGAAAUAUUCCCCUACCUGAUCACUUGACUGGUUCAUCUCAGGUCUCACUCACGUCAUUUAAACAGGACCUCUCGGCUGGGCACAGCGGCUGACACCUGUAAUCUCAGCACUUUGGGAGGCCAA